RNAcentral lists this unclassified non-coding RNA (337 nucleotides) under soil metagenome. RNAcentral describes it as "partial contains 5.8S ribosomal RNA, internal transcribed spacer 2, and large subunit ribosomal RNA". The stretch from base 1 to 120 matches the Rfam family "5.8S ribosomal RNA", at positions 35 to 154 of the family's 154-position model. The record is from RNAcentral.
GAUGAAGAACGCAGCGAAAUGCGAUAAGUAAUGUGAAUUGCAGAAUUCAGUGAAUCAUCGAAUCUUUGAACGCACAUUGCGCCCCUUGGUAUUCCAUGGGGCAUGCCUGUUCGAGCGUCAUUUGUACCUUCAAGCUCUGCUUGGUGUUGGGUGUUUGUCUCGCCUCUGCGUGUAGCCUCGCCUCAAAACAAUUGGCAGCCGGCGUAUUGAUUUCGGAGCGCAGUACAUCUCGCGCUUUGCACUCAUAACGACGACGUCCAAAAGUACAUUUUUACACUCUUGACCUCGGAUCAGGUAGGGAUACCCGCUGAACUUAAGCAUAUCAAUAAGCGGAGGA